Molecule: regulatory RNA element, 47 nt
Organism: Scleropages formosus (Asian bonytongue)
Lineage: Eukaryota; Metazoa; Chordata; Actinopteri; Osteoglossiformes; Osteoglossidae
Rfam family: Histone 3' UTR stem-loop
About the family: The mRNAs of metazoan histone genes lack a poly-A tail. 3' end processing occurs at a site between a highly conserved stem-loop (modelled by this family) and a purine rich region around 20 nts downstream (the histone downstream element, or HDE).
Source: Rfam
UAAAAGGCUCUUUUAAGAGCCACCACGUGGUUAAUAWGGAGAGAAAU